Molecule: ribosomal RNA, 253 nt
Filed under: uncultured bacterium
Lineage: Bacteria
Description: partial 16S ribosomal RNA
Rfam family: Bacterial small subunit ribosomal RNA
Source: RNAcentral
UACGGAGGGGGCAAGCGUUAUCCGGAUUUACUUGGUGUAAAGGGAGCGUAGACGGCAGCGCAAGUCUGGAGUGAAAUGCCGGGGCCCAACCCCGGAACUGCUUUGGAAACUGUGCAGCUCGAGUGCAGGAGAGGUAAGCGGAAUUCCUAGUGUAGCGGUGAAAUGCGUAGAUAUUAGGAGGAACACCAGUGGCGAAGGCGGCUUACUGGACUGUAACUGACGUUGAGGCUCGAAAGCGUGGGGAGCAAACGGG